Molecule: long non-coding RNA, 1442 nt
Organism: Manis pentadactyla (Chinese pangolin)
Lineage: Eukaryota; Metazoa; Chordata; Mammalia; Pholidota; Manidae
Exons: 3
Source: RefSeq, a predicted model, not a curated record
UCUGCUUUCCUGAACUUUGACAUUAAUGCAAUUUCUUUUCUUUUCAGGAACGGAAACAAAUUUUCUUGUUUAUAGUUUGCUUUGGUCAAACACCUCAAUCAUUUCCAAGGCUACCAUCUAGACAGUCUCGCCCAGAACCGUGCUGCAGCAUUUGGGACUGAUGCUGAAAAGUGGACUAGAAGUAUCUGAUCCUUUGCUUGUUUUGAAACAGUAAACCCCAUAUUGUAAAAAUGGCAGAGUUCUUUUGGUCCCUGGUUGAGCAUAGCUAAUUCCUGAUCUGUGGGAGCAUGUUUGUAUUGCAGUGAUCCUAAUUUACCCAUAAAUAAAUUAUUCUCCUCUGAAGCCCAUAAUAAAUACAGUUUUAAUUGCAUGCCAACUGUUAGACCCUAAAAUUAGACAGCUUUGCUCCUCCUUUGCCAAUGGGAGGAGGUGUUCUGGAAUAUUUGAGCUGAGAUUUGCUGUGGCUCCAGAAGCACUUUGGGAGAGAGAAGAGGCAGAGAUAUUUUUGAUGAACAUCUUAACAGCUUUCAGUUGUAGAAGCCUUAUUUCUGGGUCAGACAGAGGCCACGUUCAAAUGUCUCCAAACCAACAGAAGGGUCGUGGUCCAGCUGUGCCUUGUAUCAUCUCUCUGCUUUGAAUCUCCAGGAUCCGUUUUCAGAGAUGAAGCCAAAGAGGGUUUGAAUGGAUAAUGCAUGAACAUGUUCCAUUCUUUUGUGGACCUGUAGGAUGACAGUAGAAACCAGAGCAUCUGCAGCUAUGUCUUCUUCACUUUCACAGUCCUGUCUUCCAGGAGGAGUAGUACCAGAGAAACUGGAGAAAAGUGUCCCUCCGUUCCCAGUUCCCCCCACUGGACCUGCCGCCACUUUCGUUAGCUUACUCGGAUACCCUUCCGAGAUAUUUCAGACAUGUGCAAGUAUGAAUCUGCUAGUGCCGUGUCCCAGAAACUCUUCAGAGCCACCUGUCUGCUCUGCUCAUGGACACAAACAUUCCUCUGGCUCUAGGAUGGAGGUGUCCAAAUGCCCACAUUAAUAAGACACAACAGAGCCACAGAAGGUAGGAGAUUCACAGGAUGUUUUGUUUGUUUUAAGUGUAUAUGUCCAGCUCUUUCUGCUAAAAACUGAAAAGAAGCAGCAUUUUGGAAUGUAUCAAGAUGAGUACAGGCAGACCUUGUUUUAUUGUGGUUUGCCUUAUUGCACUUUGCAGAUAUUGUGUUUUUUACAAAUUGAAGGGGUGGCAACCCUCGGUCAAGCAAGUCUUUCAGAACCAUUUUUCCAAAACCAUUUGCUCCCUUCAUGUCUCUGGGUCACAUUUUGGUAAUUCUCGCAAUGCUUCAAACCAUUUCCUUAUUAUGAUAUUGAUCAUGUUGGUCUGCAAUCAGUGAUUAUGACUCACUGAAGGCUCAGGUGAUGGUAAGCAUUUUUUAGCAAUGAAGUAUUUUUUAC